Molecule: long non-coding RNA, 2257 nt
Organism: Vicia villosa (hairy vetch)
Lineage: Eukaryota; Viridiplantae; Streptophyta; Magnoliopsida; Fabales; Fabaceae
Exons: 6
Source: RefSeq, a predicted model, not a curated record
AUCAAUACUCUACUUUCCUACAUGCUUUUAACCGAUUACUCUUUCUCUCUCUUUCCAUGAGCUCUUCCUUUUCUCUGUUUUCCUUUCUCUUUUCCAUUCUAACCCUAGCGACUUCUUCACUGUGAGCACGGUCAAAUCUACCGCAAAUUUAUUCAAUAUCUCAAGAAUUUGUUCAUUGAAAAUGGAUAUCUGAAUCCAGUUCAGGGUUUAGGAAAAGUGUUAGAUUUUGUGAGAGUUUAUGAGUUGAAAAGAAUGAAAUCUGCAAGGAUCUCUGGUUUAAGAUUUGUAAUCUAGAAAUUAGAAAGGAGAAGCAUCUCAGUGUUGAUGCAAGAAAAACAAAAGUACUUGGAAAUUAGAAAGGAGCAGCAUCUCAGUUUUUCAUGUGUAGUUUUUUCCAGAUCUUAGUGGAUUGUGGUGCAUAAUGUUUGACAUUGAUGUUGCAGGGCAUUGCGUUUAUGGUUAUGAAGGCAAUGCAGUAGCACAUAACAGGAAAAUCGAGUCAGCUGGUACUAUGAAGUUUAUGGUUAAUAGGAAACUUUCUGCAUUACAAUUAGAACGACUAAGGGAUUCAAGGAAAAUCGAGUCAGCUGGUACUAUGAAGUUUUUCCAACUUUUAACAAGACUGGCAAAUCCCCUGAUUUCCCUUUUGAAUGCAACUGCUUCCCCGAGCUUGAGCAUGAAAACAAAGUUGGCAACAUGGUCUUCUGGGAAAAUGAAUGCAUACAAUAUGUUGGCAUGUCAACUUUUUCCUUAAGACAAAUUGUGAAGCAGAUUAGGGUUAAUGAAAGAGUUGUUUGCUCUUAAGGCCGUAAUCAAAUGCAUUGAAGAACAUAAGCUUGAUGAGCAAUAUCCUAUGGAUCCUCUCUAAAAUCAAGUGAUCCAACUAGAGAAGGCCAAGACCGACAAGAAGCAAGAAACUGAAGUAACAAAACCUCAUCCAAAUAGGCCUCGUGCUAAUGGUGUCGAAUAUGGUCCUUAUGUCACUAGCGUUACUUCAGACAAAAUCUCCUAUGCUAGAGUUGCUGACAGAUCGAUUUUGCAUUUGAUGAUGCUGAUGGUGUAGAAGAAGGAACAUUUGUUACUAUCAUUUGACGGCGGAAACAGAAAAGUGAGGAAUCCAUAAUACAGGAGAAGUUCAUACUGAAUGCUGCCGAUAAACUAGCGUUCAUUAUCGAAGAAAGCCAGUAUAAAGGUGGUCUGGAAGGUUCUAUUCCAGUUUUAAUUCAGCCUGCAAGCAUUUAUGCUAAUUAUAAGCUUUUUGAAUAUUUCUGGUGUAUAUUUGCUUUUAAUAUGAAAGUGUUCCUUGUAGCUUAACUGGUUGGCAAUUUGCUUUUAAUAUGAAAGCGUUCUUUGUUGCAAAAAAUCCUUGAUAAAGUUGAUGGUGUUGUCGACCAUGGUGUCAUUUCGAAAAUCCCGUUAAUUUUCUCUCUCAAAUUUUAUAUGACAAUGACAAACUUAAAGGUGUAUCUCAUUUAGUUUUGUUCUUAUGUAACAAAGAUGCACAGUGGUAGUUGCCUCUCCUAAUGGGUUGAAAGUGUUAGAAAAAAUUGACUACAAAUAUAGUAGGGAUAGACUUCACUAUGUAAGACGAUAUUUGCACCUCAUAUAGCCGCCUCUUGUCACUGGAAAUACUGUUUUUUCUAUACUCUUUGUUGAUUACCCUGUCGACAAAGUUUCCUGUUAUGUAUCAGAUGAUAGUUCGUCUAUGUUAACUUUUGAAGCCUUAUCAGGGAAAUCAGAGAAAUCGGAAAAAUCUGCGCAGCUAUAUAAAUAAGCUGUUAUUGAUGACUCACAAUGCUAAUAUAUGCGUGAUUUUUAAAUUUCAUCCUUAAACUACAUGGCUAAUUGGCUAUAAUGUUACAGAUUAAGAUUAAGAAUGCACUGCCAAAGCUACAAGUAUUCAAUGCCACACCUUUAUCGUUUUGUAGUUCAAUGCCUUGAGUAAUAUAAUAUUUAACUUCUUUAUGGUGUAUGGUGCAUUCCAAAAGUAUGUGCAGACCAUUAAUUUGUUUCGCUUGCCAAAGCUACAAGUAUUUAAUGUCAGACCAUUAAUUUGUUUCACUUGAGACUAUAACAUGACACAAAUUUGCUUUGAAACUAUAACAAAUUUAAAUUUAUUAAUGCGCAUACCUUUGGCUCGCCUUGAGAAGCUAAUAUGGAUCGAAGAAGAUCAAAAGGAUAUGAACCAACAGUAGCUGCACACUCAGCUAGGGCGCCACUUACAUAUGAUAGAAAAGGGCUCAAAUUAGUGUGGUUC